GGGGUUGAGGCUCACUGGUAGAGUGCUUGCUUUGCAUGCAUGGGGCACUGGGUUCAAUCCUCAGCACCA
RNAcentral lists this transfer RNA (69 nucleotides) under Urocitellus parryii (Arctic ground squirrel). Its description in RNAcentral is "Spermophilus parryii (Arctic ground squirrel) tRNA". It matches the Rfam family "tRNA". Rfam says of the family: Transfer RNA (tRNA) molecules are approximately 80 nucleotides in length. Lineage: Eukaryota; Metazoa; Chordata; Mammalia; Rodentia; Sciuridae. The record is from Rfam by way of RNAcentral. RNAcentral also lists the same sequence under 1 other name.